RNAcentral lists this ribosomal RNA (566 nucleotides) under uncultured Glomeromycotina. Its description in RNAcentral is "SSU rRNA". It matches the Rfam family "Eukaryotic small subunit ribosomal RNA", at positions 548 to 1114 of the family's 1831-position model. The record is from RNAcentral. Lineage: Eukaryota; Fungi; Glomeromycota.
UUGGAGGGCAAGUCUGGUGCCAGCAGCCGCGGUAAUUCCAGCUCCAAUAGCGUAUAUUAAAGUUGUUGCAGUUAAGAAGCUCGUAGUUGAAUUUCGGAACCGAUGGAUCGGUCACGCCAUUCGGUGCGUACUGGUUUAAUUGGUUCUCACCUUCUAAGGAACCGUGAUGUCAUUAAUUUGGUGUCGCGGGGAAUUAGGACUGUUACCUUGAAAAAAUUAGAGUGUUUAAAGCAAGCUCAUGCUUGAAUACAUUAGCAUGGAAUAAUGAAAUAGGACAUUGUAUUCUAUUUUGUUGGUUUCUAGGAUCGAUGUAAUGAUUAAUAGGGAUAGUUGGGGGCAUUAGUAUUCAAUUGUCAGAGGUGAAAUUCUUGGAUUUAUUGAAGACUAACUACUGCGAAAGCAUUUGCCAAGGAUGUUUUCAUUAAUCAAGAACGAAAGUUAGGGGAUCGAAGACGAUCAGAUACCGUCGUAGUCUUAACCAUAAACUAUGCCGACUAGGGAUCGGAUGAUGUUAAUUUUAUAAUGACUUAUUCGGCACCUUACGGGAAACCAAAGUGUUUGGGUUC